RNAcentral lists this ribosomal RNA (372 nucleotides) under Triticum aestivum (bread wheat). RNAcentral describes it as "partial small subunit ribosomal RNA". Lineage: Eukaryota; Viridiplantae; Streptophyta; Magnoliopsida; Poales; Poaceae. The record is from RNAcentral.
AUGUUCGCGUUUUUUUUCAGGGUGAAGAAGACUACCACACGUGUGACCAAGCAGAACCCCCGAGACCCACUCGAACGCAUACACUCAAAGCUAUCGACAGGUGGCAACUCAGACGUUCAUGAGGCGCUAGUGGACAAACCUGCUGCUGCACUGUCCACUGUUCCCACUAGCUCUGAUGCAAGCGGCCGACCAUCUCCGCCAGUUGCAGAUGUGCAGGCUACGACAGCAGGCAUCCGUACAUCUGGGAGUGAUGAGUCGGUAUCUGCCAGGACUGCUGAAAUAUUGCCCACUCUGCCGGCAAUGAAGGAUGUUGCUGUGAGCCAUGCCACCCGAUCAGCAAGUGUUGAAGUGGACGCCCCGAGAUCAACCUAA